This 468-nucleotide ribosomal RNA is filed under the name uncultured bacterium. RNAcentral describes it as "partial 16S ribosomal RNA". It matches the Rfam family "Bacterial small subunit ribosomal RNA", at positions 28 to 507 of the family's 1533-position model. The record is from RNAcentral.
GACGAACGCUGGCGGCGUGCUUAACACAUGCAAGUCGAACGGUGAAGCUCCAGCUUUCUGGAGUGGAUCAGUGGCGAACGGGUGAGUAACACGUGAGCAACCUGCCCCUGACUCUGGGAUAAGCCCUGGAAACGCCGGCUAAUACUGGAUACGAGAUUUUGCCGCAUGGGCACUUUCUGGAAAGUUCUUCGGUUGGGGAUGGGCUCGCGGCCUAUCAGCUUGUUGGUGAGGUAAUGGCUCACCAAGGCGACGACGGGUAGCCGGCCUGAGAGGGCGACCGGCCACACUGGGACUGAGACACGGCCCAGACUCCUACGGGAGGCAGAAGUGGGGAAUAUUGCACAAUGGGCGAAAGCCUGAUGCAGCGACGCCGCGUGAGGGAUGACGGCCUUCGGGUUGUAAACCUCUUUCGGCAGGGAAGAAGCGAAAGUGACGGUACCUGCAGAAGAAGCACCGGCUAACUACGUG